GUGCAGAAAGGGAUGUGAGGUGUUGCAAAGGGAAGCAGCUGCCUUCUCUGGAGAUGGUGUGGAGGGACAAAGAUGCUGCUGCCAGGAUGAGGUGGUGUUGCUGGCAAUGGUGAUGGCAACAGGAAGCAGAUGGAAAAGAGAAAACACUCUCCACUCUCGAGACCUUCACAUUCCCUGGUGCAACCCUGGAAGCGAAUGAGGAGGAGAUGACGCUGUGCUGGCUCCACGCCUGAACAGAGAGGCC
This is a long non-coding RNA of Fukomys damarensis (Damara mole-rat), 244 nucleotides long. RefSeq lists it as uncharacterized. The record is from RefSeq and is a predicted model, not a curated record. Lineage: Eukaryota; Metazoa; Chordata; Mammalia; Rodentia; Bathyergidae. The transcript has 3 exons.